This 72-nucleotide transfer RNA is filed under the name Leucauge celebesiana. RNAcentral describes it as "tRNA-His". Lineage: Eukaryota; Metazoa; Arthropoda; Arachnida; Araneae; Tetragnathidae. The record is from RNAcentral.
AAUAUAUUAGUUUAAUAAAACAAUAGUUUGUGGAACUAUAAUUCUUAAAAUAAAAAUAAAAAGAACAUUUUC